CAAGUGAAGAAGCGCAUACGGUGGAUGCCUUGGCAGUCAGAGGCGAUGAAAGACGUGGUAGCCUGCGAAAAGCUUCGGGGAGUCGGCAAACAGACUUUGAUCCGGAGAUCUCUGAAUGGGGGAACCCACCUAGGAUAACCUAGGUAUCUUGUACUGAAUCCAUAGGUGCAAGAGGCGAACCAGGGGAACUGAAACAUCUAAGUACCCUGAGGAAAAGAAAUCAACCGAGAUUCCCUUAGUAGUGGCGAGCGAACGGGGAUUAGCCCUUAAGCUUCAUUGAUUUUAGCGGAACGCUCUGGAAAGUGCGGCCAUAGUGGGUGAUAGCCCCGUACGCGAAAGGAUCUUUGAAGUGAAAUCGAGUAGGACGGAGCACGAGAAACUUUGUCUGAACAUGGGGGGACCAUCCUCCAAGGCUAAAUACUACUGACUGACCGAUAGUGAACCAGUACCGUGAGGGAAAGGCGAAAAGAACCCCGGAGAGGGGAGUGAAAUAGAACCUGAAACCGUAUGCGUACAAGCAGUGGGAGCCUACUUGUUAGGUGACUGCGUACCUUUUGUAUAAUGGGUCAGCGACUUAUAUUCAGUGGCAAGCUUAACCGUAUAGGGUAGGCGUAGCGAAAGCGAGUCUUAAUAGGGCGUUUAGUCGCUGGGUAUAGACCCGAAACCGGGCGAUCUAUCCAUGAGCAGGUUGAAGGUUAGGUAACACUGACUGGAGGACCGAACCCACUCCCGUUGAAAAGGUAGGGGAUGACUUGUGGAUCGGAGUGAAAGGCUAAUCAAGCUCGGAGAUAGCUGGUUCUCCUCGAAAGCUAUUUAGGUAGCGCCUCAUGUAUCACUCUGGGGGGUAGAGCACUGUUUCGGCUAGGGGGUCAUCCCGACUUACCAAACCGAUGCAAACUCCGAAUACCCAGAAGUGCCGAGCAUGGGAGACACACGGCGGGUGCUAACGUCCGUCGUGAAAAGGGAAACAACCCAGACCGCCAGCUAAGGUCCCAAAGUUGUGGUUAAGUGGUAAACGAUGUGGGAAGGCUUAGACAGCUAGGAGGUUGGCUUAGAAGCAGCCACCCUUUAAAGAAAGCGUAAUAGCUCACUAGUCGAGUCGGCCUGCGCGGAAGAUGUAACGGGGCUCAAACCACACACCGAAGCUGCGGGUGUCACGUAAGUGACGCGGUAGAGGAGCGUUCUGUAAGCCUGUGAAGGUGAGUUGAGAAGCUUGCUGGAGGUAUCAGAAGUGCGAAUGCUGACAUGAGUAACGACAAUGGGUGUGAAAAACACCCACGCCGAAAGACCAAGGGUUCCUGCGCAACGUUAAUCGACGCAGGGUUAGUCGGUUCCUAAGGCGAGGCUGAAAAGCGUAGUCGAUGGGAAACAGGUUAAUAUUCCUGUACUUCUGGUUACUGCGAUGGAGGGACGGAGAAGGCUAGGCCAGCUUGGCGUUGGUUGUCCAAGUUUAAGGUGGUAGGCUGAAAUCUUAGGUAAAUCCGGGGUUUCAAGGCCGAGAGCUGAUGACGAGUCGUCUUUUAGAUGACGAAGUGGUUGAUGCCAUGCUUCCAAGAAAAGCUUCUAAGCUUCAGGUAACCAGGAACCGUACCCCAAACCGACACAGGUGGUCGGGUAGAGAAUACCAAGGCGCUUGAGAGAACUCGGGUGAAGGAACUAGGCAAAAUGGCACCGUAACUUCGGGAGAAGGUGCGCCGGCUAGGGUGAAGGAUUUACUCCGUAAGCUCUGGCUGGUCGAAGAUACCAGGCCGCUGCGACUGUUUAUUAAAAACACAGCACUCUGCAAACACGAAAGUGGACGUAUAGGGUGUGACGCCUGCCCGGUGCCGGAAGGUUAAUUGAUGGGGUUAGCGCAAGCGAAGCUCUUGAUCGAAGCCCCGGUAAACGGCGGCCGUAACUAUAACGGUCCUAAGGUAGCGAAAUUCCUUGUCGGGUAAGUUCCGACCUGCACGAAUGGCGUAACGAUGGCGGCGCUGUCUCCACCCGAGACUCAGUGAAAUUGAAAUCGCUGUGAAGAUGCAGUGUAUCCGCGGCUAGACGGAAAGACCCCGUGAACCUUUACUGUAGCUUUGCACUGGACUUUGAGCCUGCUUGUGUAGGAUAGGUGGGAGGCUUUGAAGCGUGGACGCCAGUUCGCGUGGAGCCAUCCUUGAAAUACCACCCUGGCAUGCUUGAGGUUCUAACUCUGGUCCGUAAUCCGGAUCGAGGACAGUGUAUGGUGGGCAGUUUGACUGGGGCGGUCUCCUCCUAAAGAGUAACGGAGGAGUACGAAGGUGCGCUCAGACCGGUCGGAAAUCGGUCGCAGAGUAUAAAGGCAAAAGCGCGCUUGACUGCGAGACAGACACGUCGAGCAGGUACGAAAGUAGGUCUUAGUGAUCCGGUGGUUCUGUAUGGAAGGGCCAUCGCUCAACGGAUAAAAGGUACUCCGGGGAUAACAGGCUGAUACCGCCCAAGAGUUCAUAUCGACGGCGGUGUUUGGCACCUCGAUGUCGGCUCAUCACAUCCUGGGGCUGAAGCCGGUCCCAAGGGUAUGGCUGUUCGCCAUUUAAAGUGGUACGCGAGCUGGGUUUAGAACGUCGUGAGACAGUUCGGUCCCUAUCUGCCGUGGACGUUUGAGAUUUGAGAGGGGCUGCUCCUAGUACGAGAGGACCGGAGUGGACGAACCUCUGGUGUUCCGGUUGUCACGCCAGUGGCAUUGCCGGGUAGCUAUGUUCGGAAAAGAUAACCGCUGAAAGCAUCUAAGCGGGAAACUUGCCUCAAGAUGAGAUCUCACUGGGAACUUGAUUCCCCUGAAGGGCCGUCGAAGACUACGACGUUGAUAGGCUGGGUGUGUAAGCGUUGUGAGGCGUUGAGCUAACCAGUACUAAUUGCCCGUGAGGCUUGACCA
RNAcentral lists this ribosomal RNA (2887 nucleotides) under Pseudomonas aeruginosa. RNAcentral describes it as "bacterial LSU rRNA". It matches the Rfam family "Bacterial large subunit ribosomal RNA". Lineage: Bacteria; Pseudomonadati; Pseudomonadota; Gammaproteobacteria; Pseudomonadales; Pseudomonadaceae. The record is from RNAcentral. RNAcentral also lists the same sequence under 3 other names.